This 497-nucleotide ribosomal RNA is filed under the name uncultured bacterium. RNAcentral describes it as "partial 16S ribosomal RNA". It matches the Rfam family "Bacterial small subunit ribosomal RNA", at positions 28 to 507 of the family's 1533-position model. The record is from RNAcentral.
GAUGAACGCUGGCGGCGUGCCUAAUACAUGCCAGUCGAGCGAACAGACGAGGAGCUUGCUCCUCUGACGUUAGCGGCGGACGGGUGAGUAACACGUGGAUAACCUACCUAUAAGACUGGGAUAACUUCGGGAAACCGGAGCUAAUACCGGAUAAUAUAUUGAACCGCAUGGUUCAAUAGUGAAAGACGGUUUUGCUGUCACUUAUAGAUGGAUCCGCGCCGCAUUAGCUAGUUGGUAAGGUAACGGCUUACCAAGGCAACGAUGCGUAGCCGACCUGAGAGGGUGAUCGGCCACACUGGAACUGAGACACGGUCCAGACUCCUACGGGAGGCAGCAGUAGGGAAUCUUCCGCAAUGGGCGAAAGCCUGACGGAGCAACGCCGCGUGAGUGAUGAAGGUCUUCGGAUCGUAAAACUCUGUUAUUAGGGAAGAACAAAUGUGUAAGUAACUAUGCACGUCUUGACGGUACCUAAUCAGAAAGCCACAGCUAACUACGUG